CCUACGGGAUGCUGCAGUGGGGAAUAUUGCGCAAUGGGCGAAAGCCUGAAGCAGCGACGCCGCGUGAGGGAUGAAGGUCUUCGGAUCGGAAAACUCUGUCAGUAGGGAAGAAAGGUCACUGUGCUAAUCAGCAGGGAAUUGGCGGUACCUGUCGAAUAAGACACGGCUUACUAAGUGCGAGCAGCCGAGGUAAUACGUAGGUGGCAAGCCUUGUCCGGAUUUACUGGUGGUAAAGGGCGUGUAGCCGGGUUGACAAGUCAGAUGUGAAAACCUGCGGCUUAACCGCAGAACUGCAUUUGAAACUGUUGAUCUUGAGUACUGGUGAGGCAGACGGAAUUCCUAGUGUAGCGGUGAAAUGCGUCGAUAUUAGGAGGAACACCAGUGGCGAAGGCGGUCUGCUGGACAGCAACUGACGGUGAGGCGCGAAAGCGUGGGGAGCAAACAGGAUUAGAUACCCCAGUAGUC
This 465-nucleotide ribosomal RNA is filed under the name uncultured bacterium. Its description in RNAcentral is "partial 16S ribosomal RNA". It matches the Rfam family "Bacterial small subunit ribosomal RNA", at positions 338 to 795 of the family's 1533-position model. The record is from RNAcentral.